AACUAAAAUAUAAACCAAUAUAUGGCUUCACUUCUAGCUACAAUUAAUCAGGGUCGGCUCAAAAUAAUAAAGGACCCAGAGCUGAAAAAAAAAUUAGUUCUCAUUUCCUAUGUUUUGUUAUGUAAAUCUUUUUUUUGGAUCGUAAUUGUAUUAGAUUUACUUCAAAAAAAAGAGAAAUUUUGGGUUGACUCUGUGCCUCGCUCCUCCGGCACAUGUGUAGAGCCGGACCUGCAAUUAAUAGAAACA
RNAcentral lists this small RNA (246 nucleotides) under Arabidopsis thaliana (thale cress). RNAcentral describes it as "ATSL300900". Lineage: Eukaryota; Viridiplantae; Streptophyta; Magnoliopsida; Brassicales; Brassicaceae. The record is from RNAcentral.